Molecule: RNA transcript, 1418 nt
Organism: Cebus imitator (Panamanian white-faced capuchin)
Lineage: Eukaryota; Metazoa; Chordata; Mammalia; Primates; Cebidae
Gene name: putative EGF-like and EMI domain-containing protein 1
Exons: 8
Source: RefSeq, a predicted model, not a curated record
CGCCCGGCAGCGCCUCGAGCCCGCGCUGGCGGCGGGGCUGUCUCUUUAAGCGCUCCGGAGGGGCUGGGGCGGGAGGGCGGCGAGCGCGUUUCCAUGGCACCGGGGCUGCGGGGGCUGCCGGGCCGCUGGGCUCACUCGGCUUCAGUCGCUCCCGGCGGAGCAGGGGCAGGCAGAGCUCAGCGGCCACCCAGCCUCUGGGGCUCGCCCGGCCGCUCCCCUCAUGCUCCCAGCCGCCUGUGACGCCUGGUGGGGCCGCGCUGCUGCGGUUCCCUCCGCGGAGAGACGCACCGCGCCAGCCCCGCGAGCCCGGCACACCAACUUCUGCCUGACGAGCCCAACUUCUGCGCUGGGUUCGCACUUGCGGAGCCAGAACGGCGCGCCGCGCACAGCCGGGGCGGCGGCCCGGGCGGAUCAGCCUCGCCGAGGCGUCCUCGCGACGGCGGCGCUGGUGCUUCUGCGCCUGGGCGGUUGUCGGCUGGCCGCCAGGAAGCGCCCUACAGCUCCGUCCCGCCAUGCCAAAUGUUUGUGAAGAACAGUAACUGACUGUGGUGGGACUUGCACACACAUGUUCGGGCAUUCACGCCCAUUGUCAAGCUCUGGAAACAAGGCCAUGCUGCCUCAAGUUGGUGUGUGAGCUGUGAAAAAAGUGGGAACUUGUUUCAGAGGAAGCAAACGCUCAGGUGGUGAAGGCCAGUAGUGCUAGUGUUCAGAGGGAUUACAUGGACCCCACUGUCAAUAUGAUAUAAAUGAAUGUACCAUUGACAAUGCUGGCUGUCAAGAUUGAUGCUGUAAUACAGUUGGCAGUUAUUACUGCAAAUGUCAAGCUGGCCAGAAGCUAGAGGAAGAUGGCAGAGGAUGUGAAGAUGUUGAUGAAUGUGCGACGGUGAAUGGAGGCUGCCAGCAGCGCUGUAUUAACACUCUGGGCUGCUUCCACUGUGAAUGUGAUACGGGAUAGAGACUGCAUGCUGACGAACGCUCCUGCAUAAAUGCGGAUGAGUGUCUGGAUGUCAGUAUAGUCAUGACCAACUACAUUAAUUCUGUGGGAACAUACGAAUGUAGUGUGAAGAAGCCUACAGAAUUGGAAAUGACAGAAAAACUUCCACCUACUGUCCCAAGGGUGCCCACGGAGCUGGCUGCUCUUCAGAAUGUCAGUGUGUAGAGGAGAAUACCCUGGAAUGCAGUGCCAAAAAUGGUAGUUGCACCUGCAAAUCUGGUUACCAAGGCAACAGAUGCCAGAAAGAUGGCCUCUGGGGACAAGAGUACUGGUUCUCCUAUGUGCCCUGUGAAAAUGGAGGUCAGCGCAACAGAAAAACUGGAAGUUGUGACUGCACUCCUGGUUACACAGGAAAAUCCGGUACCAUAUGUAAGUCAUAAACCUAGACUAAAUAACCAACAAAGUUGAUAAAGUUGUUAGCUUU